CGCCGAGCCCGGACGGAAGCGCCGAGGGGCCGGGGUCGCCAAGGGCUGCUGCGGCCCUUCCCGGAGCCCAGUGCUGGGCACGCAAGGCGCUGGCUCAGGCGCACCCAGUGGCCGCAGCUGCAGCGGGAGGAGCGCGGCGGCGCGGGGUCCUCGGAGACAGCGUUUGUCCGAGAAGCCUUCCUGGGGCGCGCCUGCGUGAUAACCAUGAGUGGAAAAAACUAUGGUCCAGCACUGGCCUGAGACAGUAUGCGAGACAGUUGAAAACGACUGUAGAGACCCUCCGGAUUACUGGACAAUACAUGGGACUAUGGCCCGAUAAAAGUGAAGGAUGUAAUGGAUCGUGGCACUUUAAUUUAGAAGAGAUUAAGGAUCUUUUGCCGGAAAUGAAGGCAUAGUGGCCUGAUGUAAUUCACUCGUUUCCCAAUCGUAGCCACUUCCGGAAGCAUGAAGAAGCAUGGGACCUCUGCCGCCCUGGUGGACGCACUCAACUCCCAGAAGUACUUUAGCAGAAGCCGGGAACUCUACAGGGAGCUGGACAGCAACAGUGUGCUCCUAAAACUGCGGCUAAAACCAUCCGUCAAUUACUACCAAGUUGCAGAUUUUAAAGAUGCCCUUGUCAGAGUGUAUGGAGUGACACCCAAAAUCCAGUGCCUUCCGCGAAGCCAGGAUGGGGAAGUACAGACAAUUGGUCAGACAGAACUUUGCCUCACUGAGCAAGGCCAGUAGCUGCAAAACUGCACCGAGCAGUGCAGCAGCCGUCCCCCAAGUAGGAAGUUUGGCUGGCGGAUGGGGCUGCCAAGAGCCGGGGUCUGAGGGUAUGUGAAGAUGGCCCAGUCUUUUAUCCCCCACCUAAAAAAAAACAAGCAUUGAUGCCCAAGUUUGGGAAAUAUUCUGUUUUAAAAAGCAAGAGAAAUUCACUUUCUGCAGCUUUCU
This 933-nucleotide long non-coding RNA is filed under the name Homo sapiens (human). Its description in RNAcentral is "long non-coding RNA NONHSAT212137.1". The record is from RNAcentral. Lineage: Eukaryota; Metazoa; Chordata; Mammalia; Primates; Hominidae.